RNAcentral lists this ribosomal RNA (445 nucleotides) under Catonella morbi. Its description in RNAcentral is "bacterial SSU rRNA". It matches the Rfam family "Bacterial small subunit ribosomal RNA", at positions 28 to 454 of the family's 1533-position model. Lineage: Bacteria; Bacillati; Bacillota; Clostridia; Lachnospirales; Lachnospiraceae. The record is from RNAcentral.
GAUGAACGCGGCGGCGUGCCUAACACAUGCAAGUCGAACGGAGAUUACGGACGGAAGUUUUCGGAUGGAAGUUUGUAAUUCUUAGUGGCGGACGGGUGAGUAACGCGUGGGCAACCUGCCCUAUACAGGGGGAUAGCAGCUGGAAACGGCUGGUAAGACCGCAUAAGUCGGUUAAAUCGCAUGAUUUGAUCGGGAAAUGAGCAAUCAGGUAUAGGAUGGGCCCGCGUCCGAUUAGCCAGUUGGCAGGGUAAAAGCCUACCAAAGCGACGAUCGGUAGCCGGACUGAGAGGUCGGACGGCCACAUUGGGACUGAGACACGGCCCAAACUCCUACGGGAGGCAGCAGUGGGGGAUAUUGCACAAUGGAGGAAACUCUGAUGCAGCGACGCCGCGUGAGUGAAGAAGUAUUUCGGUAUGUAAAGCUCUAUCAAGCAAGGGAAAGAUGA